This is a non-coding RNA of Mycena galopus ATCC 62051, 94 nucleotides long. The record is from the annotation of a GenBank genome assembly. Lineage: Eukaryota; Fungi; Basidiomycota; Agaricomycetes; Agaricales; Mycenaceae.
GACCUAGAGCGGAGCGGUCCGCGCCCACGAUCCGUCCACCACAUCUUGCUUGGCUAUAUUCGUGGGAUACCUGGUUCGACUCCAGGCUGGGUCA